RNAcentral lists this long non-coding RNA (305 nucleotides) under Olea europaea (common olive). RNAcentral describes it as "long non-coding RNA (OEUR_LNC011161)". The record is from RNAcentral. Lineage: Eukaryota; Viridiplantae; Streptophyta; Magnoliopsida; Lamiales; Oleaceae.
UGUCUGUGAUUUGAUCUUCUCAAUGUUUUUUAGCUAUUUGGGAACAUAAUCGAGAUGGGUAACUUAUCUACUGCUUUUUGUUGUUUCAUUAUGAAAGAAUUUAAGGAAAUCUUGAAGACCUUUUGGAGUAAUAUUAUAUUUUCAAAUGGUUUAUUGGAUCCUUGAAGUGGCAGCACGUAGCCUUUGAUAUAGUCGUGUUCAUUAAAUUGUCUAAUUGCCAAAUCAUUAAUUAUAACGAACGAUAACUGUUGCAGUGUUGUCAAGGAUAUAUUAGACAUGAUUGUGGCUCUUGUUACAGAAAAAGG